Molecule: ribosomal RNA, 501 nt
Filed under: uncultured bacterium
Lineage: Bacteria
Description: bacterial SSU rRNA
Rfam family: Bacterial small subunit ribosomal RNA
Source: RNAcentral
AACGAACGCUGGCGGCGCGCCUAAUACAUGCAAGUCGAGCGGGAAGACGUAGCAAUACGUUUGUAAAGCGGCGAACGGGUGAGGAAUACAUGGGUAACCUACCCUCGAGUGGGGAAUAACUAGCCGAAAGGUUAGCUAAUACCGCGUACGCUCCUUGGACUUCGGUUCAGGGAGGAAAGCGAUACCGUGGGUAUCGCGCUCUUGGAUGGGCUCAUGUCCUAUCAGCUUGUUGGUGAGGAACGGCUCACCAAGGCUUCGACGGGUAGCUGGUCUGAGAGGACGAUCAGCCACACUGGCACUGCGACACGGGCCAGACUCCUACGGGAGGCAGCAGUAAGGAAUAUUGCGCAAUGGGCGAAAGCCUGACGCAGCGACGCCGCGUGGGGGAUGAAGGUCUUCGGAUUGUAAACCCCUUUCGGGAGGGAAGAUGGAACGAGCAAUCGUUCGGACGGUACCUCCAGAAGCAGCCACGGCUAACUUCGUGCCAGCAGCCGCGGUAAC